This 227-nucleotide ribosomal RNA is filed under the name uncultured bacterium. Its description in RNAcentral is "partial 16S ribosomal RNA". It matches the Rfam family "Bacterial small subunit ribosomal RNA", at positions 109 to 334 of the family's 1533-position model. The record is from RNAcentral.
AGUAACGCGUGAGGAACCUGCCUCAAAGAGGGGGACAACAGUUGGAAACGACUGCUAAUACCGCAUAAGCCCACAGCUCGGCAUCGAGCAGAGGGAAAAGGAGCAAUCCGCUUUGAGAUGGCCUCGCGUCCGAUUAGCUAGUUGGUGAGGUAAUGGCCCACCAAGGCGACGAUCGGUAGCCGGACUGAGAGGUUGAACGGCCACAUUGGGACUGAGACACGGCCCAG